Molecule: long non-coding RNA, 1460 nt
Organism: Dreissena polymorpha
Lineage: Eukaryota; Metazoa; Mollusca; Bivalvia; Myida; Dreissenidae
Exons: 3
Source: RefSeq, a predicted model, not a curated record
UAAAAACGGAAAACCAACAAAUAUCUUAAAAUUUGAUCAAUAAUGCAGACAAUUUAUAAAUGUCUUGUUUUUUGUUGAUUUCGAAUCUGGAAGAUUUUUUACGUAAGAUUGUAGUACGAAAAUCCAACGGUAUCGGAUUUUGUGGUUUUAGGCCUAAACUAAUUAUAGUGAUAUGUAACCUUUCGGGAUAUCGGUAAAGUGCGAGCAGACGAGGUGUAAAUACGUUAAAACUUAAAGCUAAAAGACUAAAACGUUAGAUCGGAAUAUCUUUAAAUUUUGUGAAUAAAUGUGUUUCUGGUGGAUAACAACGACAACUUACCAGAAUAUUGCUCAUAAUCACACGUAAAACGUCUUUCUGAGACAUUGUGUACACACCGGUCUUACUCACAAUAACGAAGUGACGUCACCAUCUAUGUAUAGAAUGCUUUCUGAGAGCAAUGUGUCACACCGGUCUUACUGACAAUAACGUAGUGACGUAACCAUUUAUGUAUAGAAUGUUCUGAGAGCGAAUGAAAAUGCGUCACAUAUUCUGACAAAUAAACAGUAGGGUGUCGUUAUUGAAAUACCGCGAGAAUACUGGAAGAACAGAGAUGCCAACUAUAAAGUUUAAAACAAAUAAUUUUUUAACAAGCGUUUGUGAUUUGUCAGGAUAAUAAUAACAAUAAGAUAUCGAAAAGAUCAAAGCAAAUAAAUUCGACAGAAAUCUGAGAUUCGGCAAUAUAUUAAAGACGGGUUAUGUUCACUUAAAUUGUGUUUGGUAAAGACUGUAACUAUAGGUAGUGAACCAGUCUUCGGCUUAUACUCACUGAAGAAGAGCAUUCAGGGGAGAUAAUUGAGAAAUGACUUAAUUCUGGAACGGUUGCGAAGAAAAACAAAUAAUGCGAGAAUAUUUGGUGCGAUUCGCUACACAAUUAUGAUGUCAUUGAUAUAACUUUUCCUGAGGCCAUUAAUCAUUGCAGUGGAUUGGCUAUGGAUAUCAGAUAGCCAGGCAAAAACUGGGCAGUUAUUUUUAUGCUGGGGAGAGUGCAGAACCUGAAAACGCACGAGUCGUCAUGUUCCAUUCUUCUAUGGAAAAGGAUUCUGGAAAGCUGAAGGAGGUAAUUCUUUCCAGUUUACAAAAGCCGAUUUCAGAAUGCCCCAUUCAACUCAUAUUUUCAACAGUGGCCCUAUGCAUGGGAGUGGAUCUCCAACAUGUGCAGAGGGUUAUUCAUGCUGGUCCACCCACGUCACUUGAAAGUAUGUUUUAUUUCAACAUUUAGCAAUGAAGGGAUUUAUCACAUUUAAGUUAUUACUUAUUAAUUUACAAGUAAUUUUUAUGAGACCCUGGGUUAUACUUAUAUUAAAUUUCAUUAAAACAACUUCUAGAUUAUCAGAUACAUGACAUAAAUUUGCUCUGCAUUUAUCCAGGAUCAUGUACUGUUCCAUUCCUUAUUUGAGAAACAUAAUAAUUAUUAUAAGUA